CCUACGGGAGGCUGCAGUGGGGAAUAUUGGGCAAUGGGCGAAAGCCUGACCCAGCAACGCCGCGUGAAGGAAGAAGGCUCUCGGGUUGUAAAGUUCUAUCGGCAGGGAAGAGCAGAUGACGGUACCUGACGAAGAAGCCCCGGCUAACUACGUGCCAGCAGCCGCGGUAAUACGUAGGUGGCAAGCGUUGUCCGGAAUUACUGGGUGUAAAGGGAGUGUAGCCGGGCUGACAAGUCAGGUGUGAAAUCCGGGGGCACAACCCCCGAACUGCAUGUGAAACUGUUGGUGUUGAGUAGAGGAGAGGCAGGCGGAAGUACUAGUGUAGCGGGGAAAUGCGUAGAUAUUAGGAGGAACACCAGUGGCGGAGGCGGCCUGCUGGACGGCAACUGACGGUGAGGCGCGAAAGCGUGGGGAGCAAACAGGAUUAGAUACCCUUGUAGUC
Molecule: ribosomal RNA, 442 nt
Filed under: uncultured bacterium
Lineage: Bacteria
Description: partial 16S ribosomal RNA
Rfam family: Bacterial small subunit ribosomal RNA
Source: RNAcentral